RNAcentral lists this ribosomal RNA (467 nucleotides) under uncultured bacterium. RNAcentral describes it as "partial 16S ribosomal RNA". It matches the Rfam family "Bacterial small subunit ribosomal RNA", at positions 28 to 506 of the family's 1533-position model. The record is from RNAcentral.
GACGAACGCUGGCGGCGUGCUUAACACAUGCAAGUCGAACGGAAAGGCCCUGCUUUUGUGGGGUGCUCGAGUGGCGAACGGGUGAGUAACACGUGAGUAACCUGCCCUUGACUUUGGGAUAACUUCAGGAAACUGGGGCUAAUACCGGAUAGGAGCUCCUGCUGCAUGGUGGGGGUUGGAAAGUUUCGGCGGUUGGGGAUGGACUCGCGGCUUAUCAGCUUGUUGGUGGGGUAGUGGCUUACCAAGGCUUUGACGGGUAGCCGGCCUGAGAGGGUGACCGGCCACAUUGGGACUGGGAUACGGCCCGGACGCCUACGGGAGGCAGCAGUGGGGAAUAUUGCACAAUGGGCGGAAGCCUGGUGCAGCAACGCCGCGUGCGGGAUGACGGCCUUCGGGUUGGAAACCGCUUUCGCCUGUGACGAAGCGUGAGGGACGGUAAUGGGUAAAGAAGCACCGGCUAACUACGU